This is a long non-coding RNA of Anopheles coluzzii, 2951 nucleotides long. RefSeq lists it as uncharacterized. NCBI's taxonomy places the organism in Eukaryota, Metazoa, Arthropoda, Insecta, Diptera, Culicidae. The record is from RefSeq and is a predicted model, not a curated record. The transcript is spliced from 2 exons.
UUUUUUGGAAAAAAAAAAAAAAAAAAAAAAAAAAAAAAAAAAAAAAAAAAAAAAAAAAAAAAAAAUCAAAAUGUGAAAUAUUUCCAAAGUGAAAUAUUUCACCCUGCCCUGAAAGAUUUCGAUACCGCUUCCACAGGCAACACUUUCCCGUCGGGGUAGCUUGGCGGGUGCCGAAGUUAUGCCACUUUGAAAUUCCUCUGCUUAGCUGUCAAACUGAUGUCACAACUUUUUUUCGUGCUCAGAUACACUGUUUACACUAAAAUAGUGCAACUCAGGCACAUUUUGGACACUUUUUUCGAAUUUCUGUUUUUGCACCACGUCGCACACGCACACGGUGAGUAUUCGCAAUUGGCAGAUGUCACAAAAAAACAGAAAUUUUCUGCACGUCGAUGGUCACCUAAACUAUGGUUACUCGUGUAACGGCACCUUAACAAUCGGUCCGUCAGGGGCCGUACAGUCAACCCACCCAAUUUCACCCGGAACCGAAUUUUCAUAAAUUUGUUCCCCGAAUAAUAUUAAAUAUUAUUUCAUUUUUUCGGUCACAGAACGGGCGAUUUUCGAUCGGUUUUCACUGGAUGAACGUUCUUUGGCCACCCGCUGGCCUUAAAAACCGCACCCGGCGAGAAUCUGGGCAAAUUAUAUCGCUGAAAACAGAGAUCCGGCGAAACCUUGGCCUAGUAUGGGCUGGAUGACGCAAAACUUUUUUCACAAUUUUGUGGUUUUUUCAUGCGCGGAUCACUUCUUUACACCUUUUUUCGUGCUCAGAUGCACUGUUUACACUAAAAUAGUGCAACUCAGGCACAUUUUGCGCACUUUUCGAAUUUCUUCUUUAGCACCACGUCACACAAACACACGGUGAGCAUUCGCAAUAGGCCGAUGUCACAAACAUUUUCCGCCCGUCGAUGGUCACCUAAACUAUGGUUACUCGUGUAACGGCACCUUAACGAUCGGUCCGUCCGAGCUGUCAGGCCGUUUGACAACCGAUGCCUAACUCAGGGGCCGUCAGGGGCCGUACAGUCAACCCACCCAAUUUCACCUGGAACCGAAUUUUCGUAAAUUUGUUCACCGAAUAAUAUUAAAUAUUAUUUCACUUUUUUUCGGUCACAAACGGCCGAUUUUCGAUCGGUUUUCACUGGAUGAACGUUCUUUGGCCACCCGAUGGCCUUUAAAACCACACCCGGCGAGAAUCUGGGCAAAUUAUAUCCCUGCAAACAGAGAUCCGGCGAUUACUUGGCCCAGUAUGGGCUGGAUGACGCAAAACUAUUUUCACAAUUUUGUGGUUUUUUCAUGCGCGGAUCACUUCUUAACACCUUUUUUCGUGCUCAGAUGCACUGUUUACACUAAAAUAGUGCAACUCAGGCACAUUUUGGGCACUUUUUUCGAAUUUCUUCUUUUGCACCACGUCACACAAACACACGGUGAGCAUUCGCAAUAGGCCGAUGUCACAAAAAUUUUCCGCACGUCGAUGGUCACCUAAACUAUGGUUACUCGUGUAACGGCACCUUAACUCAGGGGCCGUCAGGGGCCGUACAGUCAACCCACCCAAUUUCACCCAAUUUCACCUGGAACCGAAUUUUCGUAAAUUUGUUCACCGAAUAAUAUUAAAUAUUACUUCACUUUUUUCGGUCACAAAACGGCCGAUUUUCGAUCGGUUUUCACUGGAUGAACGUUCUUUGGCCGCCCGAUGGCCUUAAAAACCACACCCGGCGAGAAUCUGGGCAAAUUAUAUCGCUGAAAACACAGAUCCGGCGAUUACUUGGCCCAGUAUGGGCUGGAUGACGCAAAACUUUUUUUUUUCACAAUUUUGUGGUUUUUUCAUGCGCGGAUCACUUCUUAACACCUUUUUUCGUGCUCAGAUGCACUGUUUACACUAAAAUCGUGCAAUUCUGGCACUUUUUGGGCACUUUUUUCGAUUUUCUGCUUUUACACCAUGUCACACAAACACAUGGUGGGGGGUUCAUAGGCAUCAAACACAAAUGCACGAUUUUUGUUGAAUUUUCGCCUUAAAAACACUUGAUAACGCUCUUAAAGGGUAAAUCAGGUGCCCUGAGCACGUUUUUCACACUAUUAAAGUCGAUUAACGACGAUUUUGCACUGUUUUUAAGUCCUUUUUUCGGAGCCCAAACACAACGUGUCGGUACAGUACGACCUCACGUUUGACACUCACAGGGAUAACUGGCUUGUGGCCGCCAAGCGUUCAUAGCGACGUGGCUUUUUGAUCCUUCGAUGUCGGCUCUUCCUAUCAUUGUGAAGCAAAAUUCACCAAGCGUAGGAUUGUUCACCCUUUCAAGGGAACGUGAGCUGGGUUUAGACCGUCGUGAGACAGGUUAGUUUUACCCUACUGGUGUGUGCUUAUAGUCGCUAUCUUAACGGAAUUCCUGUGCAGUACGAGAGGAACCACAGGUACGGACCACUGGCUCAAUACUAGUCCGACCGGACUUUGGUAUGACGCUACGUCCGCUGGAUUAUGCCUGAACGCCUCUAAGUGGAGGGCAAGUCUGGUGCCAGCAGCCGCGGUAAUUCCAGCUCCACUAGCGUAUAUUAAAGUUGUUGCGGUUAAAACGUUCGAAGUUGAUACCCCGUCCAGACUCGCGUCCGUCGCGGGCGCCCGGCCUCUCGGUUGGGACCGUCCGUGUACGCGCUCGCGGCUGCGACUCACAAUGGUGUACCUGGGCGUUCUACUCCGUGACGGGUCAGGACUUGUCGCCGCGACCUCGUCGGUCAAGGUCUUGUUCGACCCAGCUUCAUGGUGCCCGGGAACUCUCGUUUACCUUGAACAAAUUAGAGUGCUCAAAGCAGGCUAGUUCAAAGCGUCCGGUCCUCCGGGGCCGGCGUUGGCCGAGAAUAAUUUUGCAUGGAAUAAUGGAACAUGACCUCGGUCUGAGUGGUUUCGUUGGUUUGUAAUAGACCAAGAGGUAAUGAUUAACAGAAGUAGUCGGGGGCAUUGGUAA